ACAGUGGACGCGAGCAUCUGUGGCCAAGUUUUUAAGGGCGCACGGUGGAUGCCUUGGCACCAGGAACCGAUGAAGGACGUGGGAGGCCACGAUAGGCCC
RNAcentral lists this ribosomal RNA (99 nucleotides) under Streptomyces coelicolor. RNAcentral's name for it is "partial 23S ribosomal RNA". The record is from RNAcentral. Lineage: Bacteria; Bacillati; Actinomycetota; Actinomycetes; Kitasatosporales; Streptomycetaceae. RNAcentral also lists the same sequence under 2 other names.